GGGAGUGAAAUAGAACCUGAAACCCUGCACUUACAAGCUGUGGAAGCACAUUUCUUGUGUGACCGCGUACUUUUUGUAGAACGGGCCAACGAGUUACGUUAAGUAGCAAGGUUAAGCACUUAAGGUGCGGAGCCGUAGCGAAAGCGAGUUUUAACUGAGCGUUCAGUUACUUGACGUAGACCCGAAACCGGGCGACCUACCCAUGAGCAGGAUGAAGCGAAAGUAAAAUUUCGUGGAGGUCCGAACCCACGAGCGUUGAAAAGCUCGGGGAUGACUUGUGGGUAGCGGUGAAAUUCCAAUCGAGCCCGGAGAUAGCUGGUUCUCCCCGAAAUAGCUUUAGGGCUAGCCUCAAGGUGAGAGAUACGGAGGUAGAGCACUGAAUGUCCUAGGGGGUAUUGCACCUACCGAAGACUAUCAAACUCCGAAUGCCGUCAUCUUAUACUUGGGAGUCAGACUGUGGGUGAUAAGAUUCAUAGUCGAAAGGGCAACAGCCCAGAUCGUCAGCUAAGGUCCCUAAAUGUAAGUUAAGUGGUAAAGGAUGUGGGAUUGCACAGACAACCAGGAUGUUGGCUUAGAAGCAGCCACUCAUUCAAAGAGUGCGUAAUAGCUCACUGGUCGAGUGAUCCUGCGCCGAAGAUUUCCGGGGCUAAAACUUACUACCGAAGCUACGGCAUCAGUAAUGAUGGGUAGGGGAGCUUCCCAUACGGGUUGAAGCAUGACCGUAAGGACAUGUGGACAGUAUGGGAGUGAGAAUGUUGGCAUGAGUAGCGAGAUGUGGGUGAGAAUCCCACAGGCCG
RNAcentral lists this ribosomal RNA (797 nucleotides) under Clostridioides difficile. RNAcentral describes it as "bacterial LSU rRNA". It matches the Rfam family "Bacterial large subunit ribosomal RNA", at positions 534 to 1339 of the family's 2925-position model. The record is from RNAcentral. Lineage: Bacteria; Bacillati; Bacillota; Clostridia; Peptostreptococcales; Peptostreptococcaceae.